This 250-nucleotide ribosomal RNA is filed under the name uncultured Pseudoxanthomonas sp. RNAcentral's name for it is "partial 16S ribosomal RNA". It matches the Rfam family "Bacterial small subunit ribosomal RNA", at positions 524 to 773 of the family's 1533-position model. Lineage: Bacteria; Pseudomonadati; Pseudomonadota; Gammaproteobacteria; Lysobacterales; Lysobacteraceae. The record is from RNAcentral.
UACGAAGGGUGCAAGCGUUACUCGGAAUUACUGGGCGUAAAGCGUGCGUAGGUGGUUGCUUAAGUCUGCUGUGAAAGCCCUGGGCUCAACCUGGGAAAUGCAGUGGAUACUGGGCGACUAGAGUAAGGUAGAGGAUAGUGGAAUUUCCGGUGUAGCAGUGAAAUGCGUAGAGAUCGGAAGGAACAUCUGUGGCGAAGGCGACUAUCUGGGCCAUUACUGACACUGAGGCACAAAAGCGUGGGGAGCAAAC